AAAAAAAAAAAAAAAAGAAAUUAAGUUUUAGCUAAUUUCAGAAAAUGAAGCAGAUGUACCAAGUACCAACACAUAAUAGUUUAUUCAACAAAUUUAAGGGAAAGUUUCAGUAGAAAGAUUGUCUGCAUGGAAAUUUAUUGUUAUUUCAUUAUUGAUGAGAAGAACAAAUGUAAAUGGCAUGCAAGAAACCAUUGUCUCACAAAGGAAGAAAGCCCAAAAAACUGACAGGCGUAAAAAAGUGAAAAUUGUGAUAUCUAAUUCUUAAGCGACACAUUUUGGUUUAUAAUUACCUGAAAUAAAAGGAGCAAUCCAAGGAGACCAACAGGUACAGCUGGUGCCAGAUUAUUUGUAUAAGUUAAUCCACCAGCUAA
RNAcentral lists this unclassified non-coding RNA (371 nucleotides) under Hevea brasiliensis (rubber tree). The record is from RNAcentral. Lineage: Eukaryota; Viridiplantae; Streptophyta; Magnoliopsida; Malpighiales; Euphorbiaceae.